UCGACGAUUUCUUCGAGUACUGGGCCCUGUUCAACCUCAUCUUGGUAUCACUAAACGCUCGUGUGUGUGUCUGGUGGUUACAUCUUCCCAAACUGGAUUUUAAAUGAAUACAGUGAACCCUAACGUUUUUCUGGUGUGGAUAGUAAGUAGGCCCAUUGGAUUAACAAUACUUAAGCUUGGGUAAUUGAAAGCAUUUUUUAAAAUGAAGACGGUCCUAUUUUGGAAAUGCAGAAAGGCGAGAUGAAAGCCAAACUCUGGGCCUUGACUGGAAUUUGCAAGAGACUUCCCCCUUCAAAUGGAAGGUGCACAGUAUCAUCAUCAUCUUGAAGCAUCCGUUCAGCUUCCUUUAUAACACAUGUGUGAAGAGGUUACUUUUCCCAGAAUAUUUUCCAAGAGAAU
RNAcentral lists this long non-coding RNA (399 nucleotides) under Homo sapiens (human). RNAcentral's name for it is "HSALNT0052292". The record is from RNAcentral. Lineage: Eukaryota; Metazoa; Chordata; Mammalia; Primates; Hominidae.